This 169-nucleotide transfer-messenger RNA is filed under the name Veillonella parvula. RNAcentral describes it as "partial transfer-messenger RNA". It matches the Rfam family "transfer-messenger RNA", at positions 1 to 190 of the family's 374-position model. From Rfam's summary of the family: Bacterial tmRNA, also known as 10Sa RNA or SsrA, is named for its dual tRNA and mRNA-like properties. Its role is to liberate the mRNA from a stalled ribosome. The record is from RNAcentral. Lineage: Bacteria; Bacillati; Bacillota; Negativicutes; Veillonellales; Veillonellaceae.
GGGGAUGUAAAGGUUUCGACAGGGGUGCGUGUGGUAUAGAUAGCGAGUCGGCGUUCCAUGAGGCCGUUAAACGGUGGGAAAACAUUUAAACGCAGAAGAAAAUUUUGCAUUAGCUGCAUAAGCUACGUCCCUCAUACUUGUGCCUACCAAGUGUGAAUGGACGUCAAAC